GGAGUGACAUUGACACUGUGUAUAUUGUGGCAUAGCAAGGUGGGGUGACCCUGGCACUAUGUACAUGUAAUAUGGCAGGUUGGGGUGAGCCUGGCACUGUGUACAUCUAACAUGGCAGGUUGUGGUGAGCUUGGAACUGUGUACAUGUGGUAUGGUACGUUGGAGUGACAUUGACACUGUGAAUGUUCUGGCAUAGCAAGGUG
Non-coding RNA from Pelobates cultripes (western spadefoot toad), 203 nucleotides. The record is from the annotation of a GenBank genome assembly. NCBI's taxonomy places the organism in Eukaryota, Metazoa, Chordata, Amphibia, Anura, Pelobatidae.